RNAcentral lists this ribosomal RNA (490 nucleotides) under uncultured bacterium. RNAcentral's name for it is "partial 16S ribosomal RNA". It matches the Rfam family "Bacterial small subunit ribosomal RNA", at positions 30 to 507 of the family's 1533-position model. The record is from RNAcentral.
AUUGAACGCUGGCGGCAGGCCUAACACAUGCAAGUCGAACGGUAACAGGAAGAAGCUUGCUUCUUUGCUGACGAGUGGCGGACGGGUGAGUAAUGUCUGGGAAACUGCCUGAUGGAGGGGGAUAACUACUGGAAACGGUAGCUAAUACCGCAUAACGUCGCAAGACCAAAGAGGGGGACCUUCGGGCCUCUUGCCAUCGGAUGUGCCCAGAUGGGAUUAGCUAGUAGGUGGGGUAACGGCUCACCUAGGCGACGAUCCCUAGCUGGUCUGAGAGGAUGACCAGCCACACUGGAACUGAGACACGGUCCAGACUCCUACGGGAGGCAGCAGUGGGGAAUAUUGCACAAUGGGCGCAAGCCUGAUGGAGCCAUGCCGCGUGUAUGAAGAAGGCCUUCGGGUUGUAAAAUUCUUUUAGCGGGGAAGAAGGGAGGUAAAUUUAAACCUUUACUUAUUGACGGUACCCGCAGAAAAAGCCACGGCUAACUCCGUG